This 302-nucleotide ribosomal RNA is filed under the name uncultured bacterium. Its description in RNAcentral is "partial 16S ribosomal RNA". It matches the Rfam family "Bacterial small subunit ribosomal RNA", at positions 508 to 807 of the family's 1533-position model. The record is from RNAcentral.
GCAGUAGCCGCGGUAAUACGGAGGGUGCAAGCGUUAAUCGGAAUUACUGGGCGUAAAGCGCACGCAGGCGGUUUGUUAAGUCAGGUGUGAAAUCCCCGAGCUUAACUUGGGAACUGCAUUUGAAACUGGCAAGCUAGAGUCUUGUAGAGGGGGGUAGAAUUCCAGGUGUAGCGGUGAAAUGCGUAGAGAUCUGGAGGAAUACCGGUGGCGAAGGCGGCCCCCUGGACAAAGACUGACGCUCAGGUGCGAAAGCGUGGGGAGCAAACAGGAUUAGAUACCCGCGUAGUCCCUGUCUCUUAUAC